AUACGGAGGGUGCAAGCGUUAUUCGGAAUCACUGGGCGUAAAGGACGCGUAGGCGGGUUGGCAAGUCAGAUGUGAAAUCCUACAGCUUAACUGUAGAACUGCAUUUGAAACUGCUAACCUAGAGUAUGGGAGGGGGAGAUGGAAUUAGUGGUGUAGGGGUAAAAUCCGUAGAUAUCACUAGGAAUACCGAAAGCGAAGACGAUCUCCUGGAACAUAACUGACGCUAAGGCGUGAAAGCGUGGGGAGCAAACAGGAUUAGAAACCCCAGUAGUCC
RNAcentral lists this ribosomal RNA (274 nucleotides) under uncultured bacterium. RNAcentral's name for it is "partial 16S ribosomal RNA". It matches the Rfam family "Bacterial small subunit ribosomal RNA", at positions 523 to 796 of the family's 1533-position model. The record is from RNAcentral.